RNAcentral lists this ribosomal RNA (497 nucleotides) under uncultured bacterium. RNAcentral's name for it is "partial 16S ribosomal RNA". It matches the Rfam family "Bacterial small subunit ribosomal RNA", at positions 28 to 507 of the family's 1533-position model. The record is from RNAcentral.
GAUGAACGCUGGCGGCGUGCCUAACACAUGCAAGUCGAGCGAACGGACCAGAAGCUUGCGUCUCUGAUGUUAGCGGCGGAGGGGAGAGUAACACGUGUAUAACCUACCUAUCAGACUGGGAUAACUAUGGGAAACCGGAUCUUAUACCGGAUGAUAUUUUGAACCGCAUUGUUCAAAAGUGAGAUUCGGUCGUUGUGUCACUAAUAGCUGGCUCCGCGCUGCAUUAGCUAGUUGGUAAGGUAAAGGCUUACCAAGGCAACGAUGCAUAGCCGACCUGAGAGCGAGGACGGCCACACGGGAAGAGAGACUGGGUCGAGACACCGGCGGUAAGCCGCAGUAGAGAAUCUUCCGCAAUGGAGGAGAGCGUGACAGAGCAACGCCGGGUGAGUGAUGAUGGUGUUCGGAUCGGUAAGCGCUGUUGUUAGUGGGGAACAUAUGUGUAAGUAACUGUGAAGAUAAUGACGGUACCGGGUCAAAAAGCCACGGCUAACUACGUG